AGAGUUUGAUCUGGCUCAGACGAACGCUGGCGGCAGGCUUAACACAUGCAAGUCGAACGCUCGUAGCAAUACGGGAGUGGCAGACGGGUGAGUAACGCGUGGGAACAUACCCUCCGGUUCGGAAUAGCUCAGGGAAACUUGGAUUAAUACCGGAUACGGCUGAGAGGCGAAAGAUUUAUCGCCGGAGGAUUGGCCCGCGUUCGAUUAGCUUGUUGGUGAGGUAACGGCUCACCAAGGCGAUGAUCGAUAGCUGGUCUGAGAGGAUGAUCAGCCACAUUGGGACUGAGACACGGCCCAAACUCCUACGGGAGGCAGCAGUGGGGAAUAUUGGACAAUGGGCGCAAGCCUGAUCCAGCCAUGCCGCGUGAGUGAUGACGGCCUUAGGGUUGUAAAGCUCUUUCGCUCGGGACGAUAAUGGCGGUACCGAGAUAAGAAGCCCCGGCUAACUUCGUGCCAGCAGCCGCGGUAAUACGAAGGGGGCUAGCGUUGUUCGGAAUUACUGGGCGUAAAGCGCGUGUAGGCGGGUCUUUAAGUCAGGGGUGAAAUGCCAAGGCUCAACCUUGGAACUGCCUUUGAUACUGGAGAUCUUGAGUCCGGGAGAGGUGAGUGGAAUUGCGAGUGUAGAGGUGAAAUUCGUAGAUAUUCGCAAGAACACCAGUGGCGAAGGCGGCUCACUGGCCCGGAACUGACGCUGAGACGCGAAAGCGUGGGGAGCAAACAGGAUUAGAUACCCUGGUAGUCCACGCUGUAAACGAUGGAUGCUAGCCGUUGGGGAGCUUGCUCUUCAGUGGCGCAGCUAACGCUUUAAGCAUCCCGCCUGGGGAGUACGGUCGCAAGAUUAAAACUCAAAGGAAUGAC
Molecule: ribosomal RNA, 858 nt
Filed under: uncultured bacterium
Lineage: Bacteria
Description: bacterial SSU rRNA
Rfam family: Bacterial small subunit ribosomal RNA
Source: RNAcentral